Molecule: ribosomal RNA, 318 nt
Filed under: Triticum aestivum (bread wheat)
Lineage: Eukaryota; Viridiplantae; Streptophyta; Magnoliopsida; Poales; Poaceae
Description: partial small subunit ribosomal RNA
Source: RNAcentral
AUGGACUGGUCGUUGCUGCCCCUUGAUGCGCUAUCCUUGAUCUUUGUCAGGCUCGGCGCCGUCGACAUCCUCAUGGGCGCCGGCCUCGUGUGUCACUCCUGGCUCGUGGCGGCGAAGUUGCCGGAGGUGUGGCGAUCUGUCGACAUGGACAAACACGAGGUUGUGCUCCGAAAGGGCGAUGCUGUCCUGCGUCAGAUGGCGAAGGCAGCCGUCGACCGUUCUGACGGACAGCUCAGGGAGUUUGCAGGGAGGUUGUUUGUCACCGAUGAGCUCAUCAAGUAUAUCGUGGAAAGGUAUUAUUCUUCCAUUACUACUUGA